RNAcentral lists this ribosomal RNA (1309 nucleotides) under metagenome. RNAcentral describes it as "bacterial LSU rRNA". It matches the Rfam family "Bacterial large subunit ribosomal RNA", at positions 1599 to 2925 of the family's 2925-position model. The record is from RNAcentral.
AGCUGUGCGUCAAGAAAAGCCGCUAUUGUUCAUACCAUACCCGUACCGUAAACCGACACAGGUGGAUGAGGAGAGAAUCCUAAGGCCGGCGGAAGAAGCAUUGUCAAGGAACUCGGCAAAAUGACCCCGUAACUUCGGGAGAAGGGGUGCCUGCGAGAGCAGGCCGCAGAGAAUAGGCUCAAGCAACUGUUUAGCAAAAACACAGGUCUAUGCGAAACCGAAAGGUGAGGUAUAUGGGCUGACGCCUGCCCGGUGCUGGAAGGUUAAGAGGAGAGGUUAGCGGUAACGCGAAGCUUUGAAUUUAAGCCCCAGUAAACGGCGGCCGUAACUAUAACGGUCCUAAGGUAGCGAAAUUCCUUGUCGGGUAAGUUCCGACCCGCACGAAAGGCGUAAUGAUUUGAGCGCUGUCUCGACAAUGCAUCCGGUGAAAUUGAAGUACCAGUGAAGAUGCUGGUUACCUGCGCCAGGACGGAAAGACCCCAUGGAGCUUUACUCCAGUUUGGUACUGGGAUCCGGUACUGCAUGUACAGGAUAGGUGGGAGGCUGAGAAUCGGUAACGCCAGUUGCCGAGGAGCCGCUGUUGGGAUACCACCCUUGCAGUAUUGGGUUUCUAACCAGCCGCCGUGACCCGGCGGUGGGACAAUGCCAGACGGGGAGUUUGACUGGGGCGGUCGCCUCCGAAAGGGUAUCGGAGGCGCCCAAAGGUUCCCUCAGGAUGGACGGAAACCAUCCAAAGAGUGCAAAGGCAGAAGGGAGCUUGACUGCGACACCGACGGGUGGAGCAGGUACGAAAGUAGGGCUUAGUGAUCCGGUGGUAUUAAGUGGGAAUGCCAUCGCUCAACGGAUAAAAGCUACCCUGGGAUAACAGGCUUAUCACUCCCAAGAGUUCACAUCGACGGAGUGGUUUGGCACCUCGAUGUCGGCUCAUCGCAUCCUGGGGCUGUAGUAUGUCCCAAGGGUUGGGCUGUUCGCCCAUUAAAGCGGUACGCGAGCUGGGUUCAGAACGUCGUGAGACAGUUCGGUCCCUAUCCGGCGUGGGCGUAGGAUAUCUGAGAGGAGCUGUCCUUAGUACGAGAGGACCGGGAUGGACGGGCCGCUGGUGCACCGGUUAGACUGCCAAGUCUAUAGCCGGGUAGCCAAGCCCGGAAGGGAUAAACGCUGAAGGCAUCUAAGCGUGAAGCCCCCCUCAAGAUGAGAUAUCCCAUCCGAAAGGAGUAAACCCCCUUGAAGACGACGAGGUCGAUAGGGCAGAGGUGGAAGUGUGGUAACACAUGGAGCUGACUGCUACUAAUAGGGUGAGGGCUUGACC